AGUGAACGCUGGCGGAAUGCUUUACACAUGCAAGUCGAACGGCAGCACGGACUUCGGUCUGGUGGCGAGUGGCGAACGGGUGAGUAAUAUGUCGGAACGUGCCCAGUCGUGGGGGAUAACGUAGUGAAAAUUACGCUAAUACCGCAUACGAUCUACGGAUGAAAGCGGGGGAUCGCAAGACCUCGCGCGAUUGGAGCGGCCGAUAUCAGAUUAGGUAGUUGGUGAGGUAAAGGCUCACCAAGCCAACGAUCUGUAGCUGGUCUGAGAGGACGACCAGCCACACUGGGACUGAGACACGGCCCAGACUCCUACGGAGGCAGCAGUGGGGAAUUUUGGACAAUGGACGCAAGUCUGAUCCAGCCAUUCCGCGUGCAGGACGAAGGCCUUCGGGUUGUAAACUGCUUUUGUACAGAACGAAAAGGUUUCUAUUAAUACUAGGGGCUCAUGACGGUACUGUAAGAAUAAGCACCGGCUAACUACGUGCCAGCAGCCGCCGUAA
Molecule: ribosomal RNA, 499 nt
Filed under: uncultured bacterium
Lineage: Bacteria
Description: partial 16S ribosomal RNA
Rfam family: Bacterial small subunit ribosomal RNA
Source: RNAcentral